GACGAACGCUGGCGGCGUGCUUAACACAUGCAAGUCGAACGGAAAGGCCCUGCUUUUGUGGGGUGCUCGAGUGGCGAACGGGUGAGUAACACGUGAGUAACCUGCCCCUGACUUUGGGAUAACUUCAGGAAACUGGGGCUAAUACCGGAUAGGAGCUCCUGCUGCAUGGUGGGGGUUGGAAAGUUUCGGCGGUUGGGGAUGGACUCGCGGCUUAUCAGCUUGUUGGUGGGGUAGUGGCUUACCAAGGCUUUGACGGGUAGCCGGCCUGGGAGGGUGACCAGCCACAAUGGGACUGAGAUAGGGCCCAGACUCCUACGGGAGGCAGCAGGGGGGAAUAUUGCACAACGGGGGGAAGCCUGAUGCAGCAACGCCGCGUGCGGGAUGACGGCCUUCGGGGUGUAAACCGCUUUCGAAUGUGACGAAGCGGGAGUGACGGUAAUGAGUAAGGAAGCAACGGCUAACUACGUG
RNAcentral lists this ribosomal RNA (468 nucleotides) under uncultured bacterium. RNAcentral's name for it is "partial 16S ribosomal RNA". It matches the Rfam family "Bacterial small subunit ribosomal RNA", at positions 28 to 507 of the family's 1533-position model. The record is from RNAcentral.